This 492-nucleotide ribosomal RNA is filed under the name uncultured bacterium. RNAcentral's name for it is "partial 16S ribosomal RNA". It matches the Rfam family "Bacterial small subunit ribosomal RNA", at positions 29 to 507 of the family's 1533-position model. The record is from RNAcentral.
AGUGAACGCUGGCGGUAGGCUUAACACAUGCAAGUCGAACGGCAGCACAGUAAGAGCUUGCUCUUACGGGUGGCGAGUGGCGGACGGGUGAGGAAUACAUCGGAAUCUACUUUUUCGUGGGGGAUAACGUAGGGAAACUUACGCUAAUACCGCAUACGACCUACGGAUGAAAGCAGGGGAUCUUCGGACCUUGCGCGAUUGAAUGAGCCGAUGUCGGAUUAGCUAGUUGGCGGGGUAAAGGCCCACCAAGGCGACGAUCCGUAGCUGGUCUGAGAGGAUGAUCAGCCACACUGGAACUGAGACACGGUCCAGACUCCUACGGGAGGCAGCAGUGGGGAAUAUUGGACAAUGGGCGCAAGCCUGAUCCAGCCAUACCGCGUGGGUGAAGAAGGCCUUCGGGUUGUAAAGCCCUUUUGUUGGGAAAGAAAAGCAGCAGGUUAAUACCCCGCUGUUCUGACGGUACCCAAAGAAUAAGCACCGGCUAACUUCGUG